Molecule: long non-coding RNA, 441 nt
Filed under: Capra hircus (goat)
Lineage: Eukaryota; Metazoa; Chordata; Mammalia; Artiodactyla; Bovidae
Description: lncRNA (ENSCHIG00010004655.1)
Source: RNAcentral
UAAAUAAAGACCAGUCAUGGUGAUGAAGUGGUGAAUAUGAUUUGAAUUAAAUUGUAUUCUGAAUGGUCAUGUCUAAAAAUUUCAGCAGCCUAGUAAAAUAAAUUAGUAGUGACUUUGUACUUGGUGACAUCAGUGACCUCUUCCAAUCCUGAUUCUUCAGAGGAGAAGUCACAUCUGUGACGCUGGUGCAUAUUUUAUCAAGAGUUACCAAGCUGCUGCCUUCAAAGAAUGUCUGAAGUUCUAUUCUUUGAAAUUCAUCAUGAACCAGAUGAAACUGAGCUCUUAGACUAAAGCAAGAGCAGAGGAAGUAGGACCCAGUUAACUGAGGACUAUGCGUAAGUAAAAUUAAAGUCUCUCUCUCCUUGCCUUUAAGCCUGCCUUAAAAUAUUUAGAUUGAGAGAUAGAGAGAGAGAGGGAGAGAGAGAGAGAGAGAUAACAUAA